RNAcentral lists this ribosomal RNA (292 nucleotides) under uncultured bacterium. RNAcentral's name for it is "partial 16S ribosomal RNA". It matches the Rfam family "Bacterial small subunit ribosomal RNA", at positions 505 to 796 of the family's 1533-position model. The record is from RNAcentral.
GUGUCAGCCGCCGCGGUAAUACGGAGGGUGCAAGCGUUAUCCGGAUUCACUGGGUUUAAAGGGUGCGUAGGUGGCUUUGUAAGUCAGUGGUGAAAUCUUAGAGCUUAACUCUAAAACUGCCAUUGAUACUGCUUAGCUUGAAUCAAGUAGAGGUGGAUGGAAUAUUACAUGUAGCGGUGAAAUGCUUAGAUAUGUAAUAGAACACCGAUUGCGAAGGCAGUUCACUAUGCUUGUAUUGACACUGAGGCACGAAAGCGUGGGGAUCAAACAGGAUUAGAUACCCCCGUAGUCC